AUAGCAUAAGUCUAUGAAGAACAGCAAUGUUCCUUCCGCAGAGUACACUUGCAGAAGCCUUAGUGGCCUGAAAGGGUGACACCAACGACUCUAAACAAGUAGGUGGAUUAAACGCUAGUCUCUCUCAUGAGGCAACACUAUCAAAUUGCGGGAAGAUCCUGUCAUGUCCACAUCACCGCGGCUCACCGAAAGGUGCAGUGCAGCACCAGGCUAACAACCUUGGGUAAGGUAACAGCAUGUGGAAUAGGGA
Molecule: unclassified non-coding RNA, 250 nt
Filed under: plant metagenome
Description: partial contains small subunit ribosomal RNA, internal transcribed spacer 1, and 5.8S ribosomal RNA
Source: RNAcentral